RNAcentral lists this unclassified non-coding RNA (214 nucleotides) under soil metagenome. RNAcentral's name for it is "partial contains 5.8S ribosomal RNA, internal transcribed spacer 2, and large subunit ribosomal RNA". The record is from RNAcentral.
AACCUUAUGGACCUGCGGGCGUAUACCUGCGGAGGGAUCAUUACACGUUUAGGGUGCUUCGGCGCUCUUUAUACACCCACCCUCUGCCUACGCGUACCUCUUAUAGCUUCCUCGGCGGGCUCGCCCGCCGCCAGGAACCCCCAAAACCUCUUGCAUCAUAUACAAAAACUUCUGAUACCAAACCUAAAUUAUCACAACUUUUAACAACGGAUCU